Non-coding RNA from Delitschia confertaspora ATCC 74209, 93 nucleotides. NCBI's taxonomy places the organism in Eukaryota, Fungi, Ascomycota, Dothideomycetes, Pleosporales, Delitschiaceae. The record is from the annotation of a GenBank genome assembly.
UCUUCCUUGGUCUAGUGGUCAUGAUUUCCGCUUGUCAAUUUCGAAUUGGAAUAACAAGCGCGGGAGACCGGGGUUCGAUUCCCCGAGGGAGAG